UCAUAACGGAACCUUUAUGAACGUUUCUUAUCCCUUUUUCAAAAUCUUCUUUUUCUUCAUUCCUUAUUUGUUCCUAUUUAAAAUUCUGAAGAGGACCAACUUCCGAUGGAUCGAAAAAUUGUAAGUUUCGUGGGAAGGGGGAGCCAUUGUAUAGAUGACGUAUGCGCAUAAACGAGAGUCUACUUAAUUUUUUUGCAGUUGGUAGUAUUGCCAUUUUGAACUAUUUUGUGAUUUGGUUGCAGAGGAGUUUUGUCGUCUCGUUAAUUACAGCCUUCCAAGAAGCUUAUAAAUUGGAAAACCUACGCAAUAUGAUAGAAAUAAUGUUAUCGUAUUUACACGCACGGAUUCAUCGAUUCAACGUUUCAUCGAUUCAACAAUAAUUUUAAUCAAUUUCACGGCAUCAUUCGACCUACGUUGAGAAAGACAAAAGAAAAAGAGUGAAUGAAGAAGAAAAGAAAAAAAGAGAAAAGGAGAAAAAAAGAAAAAGAGAAAAUGUGCUCUGCUGAGAGAAACUAAAGUAAUUAAUCUAGAAUAAUUAAUUUAGAAUAAUUGUUUAAAUUAUUAUAUGACAUUUCGAAACAUUUGUAACUAGUAAUAGAUUUUUUUUUAGUAAUAAAUUUAUAUUGAAUUAAUUA
Molecule: long non-coding RNA, 635 nt
Organism: Vespula pensylvanica (western yellowjacket)
Lineage: Eukaryota; Metazoa; Arthropoda; Insecta; Hymenoptera; Vespidae
Exons: 4
Source: RefSeq, a predicted model, not a curated record